GGUUAGCAUAUUGCUUUCCUCUGGAUAUGGGUUUCUGUCUUCAAACCAAAUCUUACCUCUCUGUAAGGCUGGACUCUACCACCUCAGACCAUCUUUCCCAGCCUAACUGCUGGCUGGAGAGCCUGUUUACUUGGUGCAGUCAUAGCCUUUGGAAUAUCUUCACUACCUUGUUUAUUUAGUUAUUUCAACAAAUAUUUAUUGAUCACCUACCAAGUAUUAGACACACAUUGGGCUAAAUACCAGAGACUUUGAGCUGGCAAAGGCAAGGUCGUUGUCCCCAAAUAAUUUACUUCCCAUGAGGAGUAUACAGUCAAAUUAGGAGAUAAGUGCAAAUAAGGCAAAAGUACAAUGCUGGAGACAGGCACAGAAAGGGUGAGGGCUGAGGGGUGGUGCUUUACUGCUUCAGGGAUGGAAAGCAGGCAUCUAGAAGACCUGAUGCCCCAAGUCUUAAGUUGGGCAAGGGUUUUCUAUAGAGCAGGAAGGAGAAGAGGGCAUUCCAGGAGAGUAUAUAACAUGACCAAAUGAGGAAGGUGAGAUAUCACAUGAUACACACAGUGACAGGUAUCAUUUAUUAUUGGCUGAAAGAAAAAUUUAUAGGAGCAGUAAUGAUGGCAGAAAAUCCGGGCAUUAACUCGUAGAUGACAGAAGGCCAUACACCCCGCCCAGGUCAUACCCAUACCACUCCAUCUCCUCCUAAGUUCAGGACAAGCAAUAUCAAGUAACCCCAGCACUCUUUCCUGCUGAGUUUGUUCUCAGCCUCAAAACCUUUGGGAACAUAUACUUCCAGGCAGACACUAAUAAUUGGUCAGACUCAGCAUGUAAAGCAAUUUUUUUUCACCAUUUACCAUAAUAGAGUUCAUUUAUCAUCUGUAAGAAAUG
RNAcentral lists this long non-coding RNA (879 nucleotides) under Marmota monax (woodchuck). The record is from RNAcentral. Lineage: Eukaryota; Metazoa; Chordata; Mammalia; Rodentia; Sciuridae.